GAGUUUGAUCGUGGCUCAGAUUGAACGCUGGCGGCAUGCUUUACACAUGCAAGUCGAACGGUAACGCGGGGGCAACCCUGGCGACGAGUGGCGAACGGGUGAGUAAUACAUCGGAACAUGUCCUGGGGUGGGGGAUAGCUCGGCGAAAGCCGGAUUAAUACCGCAUACGCUCUGAGGAGGAAAGCGGGGGACCUUCGGGCCUCGCGCUGCAGGAGUGGCCGAUGUCGGAUUAGCUAGUUGGUGAGGUAAAGGCUCACCAAGGCGACGAUCCGUAGCUGGUCUGAGAGGAUGAUCAGCCACACUGGGACUGAGACACGGCCCAGACUCCUACGGGAGGCAGCAGUGGGGGAUUUUGGACAGUGGGGGCAACCCUGAUCCAGCCAUGCCGCGUGAGUGAAGAAGGCCUUCGGUUGUAAG
Molecule: ribosomal RNA, 417 nt
Filed under: uncultured beta proteobacterium
Lineage: Bacteria; Pseudomonadati; Pseudomonadota; Betaproteobacteria
Description: bacterial SSU rRNA
Rfam family: Bacterial small subunit ribosomal RNA
Source: RNAcentral